Long non-coding RNA from Helianthus annuus (common sunflower), 1138 nucleotides. RefSeq lists it as uncharacterized. The transcript has 7 exons. Lineage: Eukaryota; Viridiplantae; Streptophyta; Magnoliopsida; Asterales; Asteraceae. The record is from RefSeq and is a predicted model, not a curated record.
CCUAACCCUAAUCAUUUCUCCUUCAGUCGUUUCUCUAUCUUACCUCUCUCUCUCCUUUGUAAGAUGCUUCUCCUACAUCAGAGAUCUACCUUUUUUUUCUACUGAUCACCUCAUCGCAAUGUACUAGCUAUUUGGAGGUUCGAUUUAUGUUGAUUGACUUCGAUUUAUAUGGGGUAAAAUCAUUGCAGACUACCUCCUGAUCCUGUUCUUCAUCAUUUGAAGGUUUUUCCCACCUUUAAUGAAGAGCUCUUCAAGGAAAUCACUCAGCUACUAACACCGGAGAUCACCGUUUGAGAAAAUGCAAGUUGAGAGAGUUGCUUCUAUUGAAUUGGGUGCUCCGGCAGAACCGAUAGAAGCUCGUGUGUGAUCCCGCGUUACAGACCACGUGAUACAUGCCAUGUUUUUGGAGUCACACAUGGUGGUGUAAUUCAAGCCAUUGCACAUAACAGGGAUCAAACGUUUGUAGAAUGAAAAAUCAGCCUCAUGAUGUGCUACCGAAAAGAGAAUUUUAUUUCUGCUCUGCCCAAACAUUACGUCAAUGUCCUUUCUCACCCCGUGAACUUAGGAAUUGAUCGUGCCACAACAUCUAUGAAAGUGAUGUCAUUUCUAGGUUCAAAAACAAGUCCACUGUUACAAGUUCAACAUGAUAAAAAAUCCACCACUCUAGCAAUUCUUGGAGAAAAUAGGACAACUCUAGCAUCUCUGCUUUGAAAAGAACAAACAGAGCUCAAUAUACACGCCUCUUAAAUUCGACGAAGUCAGACCUUGAUUAUAUAUUUCAAAAGCCAAGGUUGGUUGACUAGCUGCUGCAGUUGUUUAUGUUGCUUGUGGAGUCGGAUCAUUCGGAAUUCAGUUUGCAAAACAUGUGUUUGGUGCUUUAGAAGUAGCAGCCACAUCUAGCUUAGGAAAACUCGAGUUGCUUACAAGUUCACGCGCUGAUGGGUCAUAAUGGGUCAGAAUUGCCACCUCAAGAGUUACAAGACUAGAUGGCCUCAAAGUUGUUAUUCUAGAUAGUGAUGGUAAUCUUUCAAAUACAACAUCAAAUGUUGUAUACAAAGAAGUUUUUAGAAAUUUGUAAUGUAUGUUUAUAUUUUUUUUUUUUGUACAUCUUUCAUGUCAAAUUAUUUAGUUUGUUAUU